CCCGCACAAGCGGAGGAACAUGUGGUUUAAUUCGAUGAUACGCGAGGAACCUUACCUGGGCUUAAAUGUAGAGUGCAUUUUUUAGAGAUAGAAAUUCCCUUCGGGGCUUUCUGCAAGGUGCUGCAUGGUUGUCGUCAGCUCGUGCCGUGAGGUGUCGGGUUAAGUCCCAUAACGAGCGCAACCCUUAUCGUUAGUUGCCAUCUGGUAAUGCAGGGGACUCUAGCGAAACUGCCACCGUAAGGUGAGAGGAAGGUGGGGACGACGUCAAAUCAGCACGGCCCUUAUGUCCAGGGCUACACACGUGUUACAAUGGUCGGUACAGAGGGCAGCUACCUGGUGACAGGAUGCUAAUCUCGAAAACCGGUCUCAGUUCGGAUCGAAGUCUGCAACUCGACUUCGUGAAGCUGGAUUCGCUAGUAAUCGCGCAUCAGCUAUGGCGCGGUGAAUACGUUCCCGGGCCUU
This 462-nucleotide ribosomal RNA is filed under the name uncultured Sphingobacteriales bacterium. RNAcentral's name for it is "bacterial SSU rRNA". It matches the Rfam family "Bacterial small subunit ribosomal RNA", at positions 920 to 1382 of the family's 1533-position model. The record is from RNAcentral. Lineage: Bacteria; Pseudomonadati; Bacteroidota; Sphingobacteriia; Sphingobacteriales.